RNAcentral lists this ribosomal RNA (490 nucleotides) under uncultured bacterium. RNAcentral describes it as "partial 16S ribosomal RNA". It matches the Rfam family "Bacterial small subunit ribosomal RNA", at positions 29 to 507 of the family's 1533-position model. The record is from RNAcentral.
AGUGAACGCUGGCGGCAGGCCUAACACAUGCAAGUCGAACGGCAGCACAAGAGAGCUUGCUCUCUGGGUGGCGAGUGGCGGACGGGUGAGGAAUGCAUCGGAAUCUGCCCAUUUGUGGGGGAUAACCUCGGGAAACCGGGACUAAUACCGCAUACGACCUACGGGUGAAAGCAGGGGAUCUUCGGACCUUGCGCAGAUGGAUGAGCCGAUGCCGGAUUAGCUAGUUGGAGGGGUAAAGGCCCACCAAGGCGACGAUCCGUAGCUGGUCUGAGAGGAUGAUCAGCCACACUGGGACUGAGACACGGCCCAGACUCCUACGGGAGGAAGCAGUGGGGAAUAUUGGACAAUGGGCGCAAGCCUGAUCCAGCCAUGCCGCGUGUGUGAAGAAGGCCUUCGGGUUGUAAAGCACUUUUGUUGGGAAAGAAAAGCAGCCGGUUAAUACCCGGUUGUCAUGACGGUACCCAAAGAAUAAGCACCGGCUAACUUCGUG